Molecule: non-coding RNA, 393 nt
Organism: Sorex fumeus (smoky shrew)
Lineage: Eukaryota; Metazoa; Chordata; Mammalia; Eulipotyphla; Soricidae
Source: the annotation of a RefSeq genome assembly
AUGAGGGCCCCUGUGCAGCUCCUCAGCUUCCUGCUGCUCUGGCUCCCAGGUUCUCAGUGUGAUAUCCAGAUGACACAGAGUCCACCUGUGUCUGCACCUCUGGGAGAGAAAGUCACCAUCACCUGCAAGGCCAGUCAGAGCAUUGGCAAUAGUUUACACUGGUAUCAGCAGAAACCAGGGAAAGCUCCCAGGCACCUGAUCUAUUAUGCGACCAAUUUAGAGUCAGGUGUCCCAUCCCGGUUCAGCGGCAGUGAAUCUGGGACAGAUUUCACUCUCACCAUCAGCAGCCUGGAGCCUGAGGAUGCUGCCACUUAUUACUGUCAACAGUCUAAUAAUUACCCUCCCACAGUGAUACAGGCCAGAACACAAACCCCCCAGAGAUCAGCUCUGUGA